This is a long non-coding RNA of Macaca mulatta (Rhesus monkey), 742 nucleotides long. RefSeq lists it as uncharacterized. Lineage: Eukaryota; Metazoa; Chordata; Mammalia; Primates; Cercopithecidae. The record is from RefSeq and is a predicted model, not a curated record.
CCCUCCCCUGGCGCGCCAUCUUUAGUGCUGGCAGCGAGGCUUCUUGGCCCCACACGUUCAACGUUGCUGCUGGAGAGAUUGGGGUUUAUUUUUAACCAACUUACAUGAACGUGACCCCAUUUCCGAGGCCUGGCGCCUUUCUCAUCCUGUAACUCUUCGCUCGAAUGUCACCUUGCGAGGGAAGUUGUUCCUGAUCACCCUGACUAGGUCCCCUACCGGUAAACAGAAACCAGGCCUUUCAAAGAUGCCACCACUGAGUUCAGUCAAAGCCUGGACUGCCACCCUUCCCUUUUCACGGUUUGUGCACAACUGAACAUCAUUCCUUCCUGCUAAGAGACCACCAACCACAGAGCCGUUCUGGCCAGUCUACGAAGAUGCACUGUGAGGGUUUUCCAGUCCUCUGCUUCACCUUUUGACAUCAGAGUCCUGAAAACUCCACCCUGAGAUCACACUUUCAAUGCCACCAUUUUUUGAACAUGGGACCCAUGGAGAAGCAUGAAGUUCAAUUGCACAUGUGCAUGUUUCCCGUCUCAUGAAUAUUCAUGGUUCCACCUAUAGCUUAUUGAAUAUGUAUAUUUACACUCCAUUCAGUGUAAAUCCCUGUCUCUUCUUUCAACCUUCAAAGUGCCUAUUUCCAGCUUCUGGCCAGAGGCUACACUUCCCAGCCUGUCAGAAUGGGCCUCCUCCAGGCUGCAGGCUUUUUUGAGAAAUAAAGCUCUCCUUUCCAAAUAUAUGAACCUCA